RNAcentral lists this ribosomal RNA (466 nucleotides) under uncultured bacterium. RNAcentral describes it as "partial 16S ribosomal RNA". It matches the Rfam family "Bacterial small subunit ribosomal RNA", at positions 28 to 507 of the family's 1533-position model. The record is from RNAcentral.
GACGAACGCUGGCGGCGUGCUUAACACAUGCAAGUCGAACGGAAAGGCCCUGCUUGCAGGGUACUCGAGUGGCGAACGGGUGAGUAACACGUGGGUGAUCUGCCCUGCACUUCGGGAUAAGCUUGGGAAACUGGGUCUAAUACCGGAUAGGAGCCAUCUUUAGUGUGGUGGUUGGAAAGUUUUUUCGGUGUAGGAUGAGCUCGCGGCCUAUCAGCUUGUUGGUGGGGUAAUGGCCUACCAAGGCGGCGACGGGUAGCCGGCCUGAGAGGGUGUACGGCCACAUUGGGACUGAGAUCCGGCCCAGACUCCUACGGGAGGCAGCAGUGGGGAAUAUUGCACAAUGGGCGCAAGCCUGAUGCAGCGACGCCGCGUGGGGGAUGAAGGCCUUCGGGUUGUAAACUCCUUUCGCUAGGGACGAAGCUUUUUUGUGACGGUACCUAGAGAAGAAGCACCGGCUAACUACGUG